RNAcentral lists this ribosomal RNA (643 nucleotides) under uncultured Bacteroidales bacterium. RNAcentral's name for it is "bacterial SSU rRNA". It matches the Rfam family "Bacterial small subunit ribosomal RNA", at positions 80 to 719 of the family's 1533-position model. Lineage: Bacteria; Pseudomonadati; Bacteroidota; Bacteroidia; Bacteroidales. The record is from RNAcentral.
UAAGGCUGAUGGCGACCGGCGCACGGGUGAGUAACACGUAUCCAACCUGCCGUCUACUCUUGGCCAGCCUUCUGAAAGGAAGAUUAAUCCAGGAUGGGAUCAUGAGUUCACAUGUCCGCAUGAUUAAAGGUAUUUUCCGGUAGACGAUGGGGAUGCGUUCCAUUAGAUAGUAGGCGGGGUAACGGCCCACCUAGUCAACGAUGGAUAGGGGUUCUGAGAGGAAGGUCCCCCACAUUGGAACUGAGACACGGUCCAAACUCCUACGGGAGGCAGCAGUGAGGAAUAUUGGUCAAUGGGCGAUGGCCUGAACCAGCCAAGUAGCGUGAAGGAUGACUGCCCUAUGGGUUGUAAACUUCUUUUAUAAAGGAAUAAAGUCGGGUAUGCAUACCCGUUUGCAUGUACUUUAUGAAUAAGGAUCGGCUAACUCCGUGCCAGCAGCCGCGGUAAUACGGAGGAUCCGAGCGUUAUCCGGAUUUAUUGGGUUUAAAGGGAGCGUAGAUGGAUGUUUAAGUCAGUUGUGAAAGUUUGCGGCUCAACCGUAAAAUUGCAGUUGAUACUGGAUGUCUUGAGUGCAGUUGAGGCAGGCGGAAUUCGUGGUGUAGCGGUGAAAUGCUUAGAUAUCACGAAGAACUCCGAUUGCGAA